RNAcentral lists this small nuclear RNA (325 nucleotides) under Castor canadensis (American beaver). Its description in RNAcentral is "7SK RNA (ENSCCNG00000003793.1)". It matches the Rfam family "7SK RNA". From Rfam's summary of the family: 7SK was discovered as an abundant small nuclear RNA in the mid-70s but a possible function has only recently been suggested. Two independent studies have found that 7SK RNA binds the CDK9/cyclin T complex (known as elongation factor P-TEFb). P-TEFb activates transcription by phosphorylating the C-terminal domain of RNA polymerase II. The record is from Rfam by way of RNAcentral. Lineage: Eukaryota; Metazoa; Chordata; Mammalia; Rodentia; Castoridae.
GGAUGUGAGGGCGAUCUGGCUGCGACAUCUGUCACCGCAUUGAUUGCCAGGGUUGAUUUGGCUGAUCUGGCUGAUCUGGCUGGCUAGGCGGGUGUCCCCUUCCUCCCUCAUCGCUCCAUGUGUGUCCCUCCUGAAGCUGCGCGCUUGGUCAAAGAGGACGACCAUCCCCGAUAGAGGAGGACCGUUCUUCGGUCAAGGGUAUGUGAGUAGCUGCGCUCCCCUGCUAGAACCUCCCACAAGCUCUCAGAAGUAGCUGUGUUUCUAAUUUCAUUGGAGACAGUUUGAAAUAGAAGUAUUUGUUUUAUAGGUCAAAAAGCAAGUAACU